Molecule: ribosomal RNA, 503 nt
Filed under: uncultured bacterium
Lineage: Bacteria
Description: partial 16S ribosomal RNA
Rfam family: Bacterial small subunit ribosomal RNA
Source: RNAcentral
AUUGAACGCUGGCGGCAGGCUUAACACAUGCAAGUCGAGCGGGGUGAUGGUGCUUGCACUAUCACUUAGCGGCGGACGGGUGAGUAGUGCUUAGGAAUCUGCCUAUUAGUGGGGGACAACAUCUCGAAAGGGAUGCUAAUACCGCAUACGUCCUACGGGAGAAAGCAGGGGAUCACUUGUGACCUUGCGCUAAUAGAUGAGCCUAAGUCGGAUUAGCUAGUUGGUGGGGUAAAGGCCUACCAAGGCGACGAUCUGUAGCGGGUCUGAGAGGAUGAUCCGCCACACUGGGACUGAGACACGGCCCAGACUCCUACGGGAGGCAGCAGUGGGGAAUAUUGGACAAUGGGGGGAACCCUGAUCCAGCCAUGCCGCGUGUGUGAAGAAGGCCUUAUGGUUGUAAAGCACUUUAAGCGAGGAGGAGGCUCUUUUGGUUAAUACCCAAGAUGAGUGGACGUUACUCGCAGAAUAAGCACCGGCUAACUCUGUGUCAGCAGCCGCGGUAA